RNAcentral lists this ribosomal RNA (253 nucleotides) under uncultured bacterium. RNAcentral's name for it is "partial 16S ribosomal RNA". It matches the Rfam family "Bacterial small subunit ribosomal RNA", at positions 524 to 776 of the family's 1533-position model. The record is from RNAcentral.
UACGUAGGGUGCGAGCGUUGUCCGGAUUUAUUGGGUUUAAAGGGUGCGUAGGCGGGAGAAUAAGUCUGCUUUUAAAGUCGGCCGCUCAACGGUCGUAGGGGAGCGGAUACUGUUUUUCUUGAGAGAUCUGGGGGCUGGCGGAAUUUGUGGUGUAGCGGUGAAAUGCAUAGAUACCACAAGGAACACCGAUCGCGUAGGCAGCUAGCCACGGAUUUUCUGACGCUGAGGCACGAAAGUGUGGGGAGCAAACAGG